RNAcentral lists this ribosomal RNA (3075 nucleotides) under Bdellovibrionales bacterium. RNAcentral's name for it is "partial 23S ribosomal RNA". The stretch from base 428 to 3075 matches the Rfam family "Eukaryotic large subunit ribosomal RNA", at positions 1 to 2586 of the family's 3401-position model. Lineage: Bacteria; Pseudomonadati; Bdellovibrionota; Bdellovibrionia; Bdellovibrionales. The record is from RNAcentral.
GGUGACACCAAUUGCACUUAUCGGUGGAUGUCUUGGCUCUGGGAUCGAUGAAGACCGCAGCAAGAUGCGAUAUUCAAUGGGAAUUGCAGAAGCAUGAGACUCAUCAGGUCGUCGAACGCAUUUGCGGGCUGGGUUUUGCCCACGCCCAUCAGCAGUUGAGUGUCGCUUGAAAAUCUAAUCCCCCUCGCUUAAUUUUUAGGGCCUCUCGCUUAAUUUAAGCGAGAGCUCCGAAAUUUAAGCGAGGAGGGGAUACGGCGAUGUAGCGAGACAUCCCGUCUCGCCGCUUCGCUGAGAUGCAGGGUCGAAAGGGAGCAAUCCAUUUUCGACCUUCAAGAGCGACCACCCUUUUUCAAAGGUUGGUCUCGUGGGAUUUCAAAUUUCAUAAGGCAAGCCGAGAAAAAAAUGGGAGCUCGUCAAAACUUCUCAUUGACCUCAGCUGUUGAAGAUCUACGCGCUGAACUUAAGCAUAUCACUCAGCGCUGGAAAAGAAAGCAACAGCGAUGCUCCUAGUAACGGCGAGUGAACAGGGCAGAGCCCAAGCCGAAUCGGCGUCCCACGGAUGUCCGAGAUGUAGCGCAAGCCCCAAGGGUUCUGGUGGCAUCGAGGUAAGUCUCCUGGAAUGGCGUAUCCAAAGAGGGUGAGAGUCCCGUACGUCCUCGAUGAGCCAACUGGUCCACACCCCAAAAGGCAAGAGUCGUUCAGUUUGGGAAUGCUGAACAAAUCGGCAGGUAUCCCUCUGCUAAGGCUAAAUAUCUCCCGGAGGCCGAUAGCGAACAAGUACAGUGAUGGAAAGAUGCAAAGAACUUUGAAAAGAGAGUUAAAAGUCCCUGAAACCGAUGAGUGGUAAGAGUUCGAGACGCGUCAAAAUCCUGAUCAUUCUUCGUUCACUCGGGGUUAUGGUUAGGACGUCUGGUCUCAUUCGGGUCGUCUAUCCUGGGAACGCGAGAGGCUCCGGCGUCUGCGUCCUUGAGGGCAGAUCGGCCAGGAUGUGAAUGGGCUGAGGAUGUAAACUGUUGCGGUCGUUUGGGUGGUAAGUGUCGGAGUCUCCGGACGAUGUCCUUGCCCCUAUUCGGACGUUGCAGGUAAAGUCUCGUAGGCCUAUGUCAGACAUAGCGGUCUUGAACUACCCGUCUUGAAACACGGACCAAGGAGUCUAACACGUGUGCGAGGCUUAGGGUGUCAAACCCACAAGCCACACUGAAAGGGAGAUGUGCCAACCCCUGAGGGUGCAGCACAGCCCGAUCCCGAUUUACUGGAAAAGGAUUUGAGGUAAAGUACACUUGUUGGGACCCGAAAGAUGGUGAACUAUGCCUGGAUAGGACGAAGCCGGGGGAAACUCUGGUGGAGGUCCGUUGCGGUGUUGACGUGCAAAUCGCUCGUCAAAGCUGGGUAUAGGGGCGAAAGACCCAUCGAACCAUCUAGUAGCUGGUUCACUCCGAAGUUUCCCUCAGGAUAGCUAGCACCAUGAAAGGAGUCACGUCUGGUAAAGCGAAUGAUUGGAGGCAUUGGGGAUAUCGCUUCCUCGACCUAUUCUCAAACUUUAAAUGGGCGUGAGCUCGGGGUUACUUCAUUGAACCCUGACGUAGGAUCCUGGUGCUAAGUGGGCCACUUCUGGUAAGCAGGACUGGCGACGCGGGAUGAACCGAGAGCUGACUUAAGGUAUCCGAGUGAUCGCUCAUCAGAUCCCACAAAGGGUGUAGGUUCAUCUAGACAGCAGGACGGUGGCCAUGGAAGUCGGCAUCCGAUAAUGAGUGUGUAACAACUCACCUGCCGAAUGAACCUGUCCCGAAAAUGGAUGAUGCUCAAGCGAUCCACCCAUAGUCGGCCGAGCUCCAGUAUCAAAAAGCUGGGCUUGCGUAGGAGUGCGUGGUCCACGCUGCGAAGCAGCUGGCGUGAGCCUCUGUGAAGCGUGGAUGAGUGCAGAUCUUGGUUGUAGUAGCGAAUAUUCAAUGGAGAACAUUGAAGGCCGAAGUGGAGAAGGUUUCCGUGUCAACAGCAGUUGGACAUGGGUCAGUCGGUCCUAAGGCAAGGUGUAAUUGCUCGCCUCAAAGCUGCCACUUAUCAUUUCGGUGAUAGUGCAGGUUUGCCGAAAGGGAAUGCGUGAACAUUCCGCAACCCGGAUGCAGAGAUAUGAAGCGGCAACGCGUGACGAUCCUGUCGACCGUGCCCACGAGCCCCGGAUGACGCAGUCGUCUCUUUUUGAAGGAAGGAUUGACCGUUGAAUCGCUUCACGCGGGGACACGGUUAAUUAUCCUGGAAAGCUGCACUUUCUUCGUGCAGUAGGGUGUCCCGUGGGUGCGCAUGGAAAAGACAGGGGAGAUCUCGUUCUCUAGCAUCGGGCCGUACCGUUAACCGCAAUAGGUCUCCUAGGCUAAAAGCCUCUGGCCGACAGAAUAAUGUAGGUAAGGGAAGUCGGCAAACUGGAUCUGUAACCUCGGGAAAAGGAUUGGCUCCGAGGACACAUGUGGGAUGUCAGCGGGGACUUAUCUGGAGUUUGGUUGAUGGAGCUGUAGGUGACGGCCUCGGUUGUUGUCUGCGGCUCUUGAUUCCUUUCUAGUUAAUCCACGUGUUGUGCCUACAAGGAAGUGUCAGCUUGGAACUGUUACGAACAAGAGGAAUCCAACUGGUUAAUUAAACCACAGCAUGUCGCUUCAUCACAGCGGUGGCGAGUGGCAUGUGACUUCUGCCCAGUGCCCUGAAUGUCAACGCUGAGAGAUCAGGUCAAGCGCGGGUAAACGGCGGGAGUAACUAUGACUCUCUUAAGGUAGCCAAAUGCCUCGUCAUCUAAUUAGUGACGCGCAUGAAUGGAUUAACGAGAUUCCCACUGUCCCUAUCUACUAUCUAGCGAAACCACAGCCAAGGGAACGGGCUUGGCACAAUCAGCGGGGAAAGAAGACCCUGUUGAGCUUGACUCUAGUCCGACUCUGUGAAGAAACAUGAGAGGUGUAGCAUAAGUGGGAGGGCAAGCCGCAGUGAAAUACCACUACUUUCAUCGUUUCUUUACUUACUCGAUGAAGCGGAAGGCGGCCUCACGGCCACACUUCUAGAUUUAAGCAAUGGUACUCGCUACUAUUG